Non-coding RNA from Rattus norvegicus (Norway rat), 9148 nucleotides. The record is from RefSeq and is a predicted model, not a curated record. NCBI's taxonomy places the organism in Eukaryota, Metazoa, Chordata, Mammalia, Rodentia, Muridae.
UUCUCUUUGUUUUGUUGCCAAGACGAUUAGUUUCUUGCUUCUUGUAGGGUAUAGCUUGCCUCCUUAUGUUGGGCUUUACCAUUUAUUAUCCUUUGUAGUGCUGGAUUUGUGGAAAGAUAUUGUGUAAAUUUGGUUUUGUCAUGGAAUAUCUUGGUUUCUCCAUCUAUGUUAAUUGAGAGUUUUGCAGGAUACAGUAACCUGGGCUGGCAUUUGUGUUCUCUUAGGGUCUGUAUGACAUCAGUCCAGGAUCUUCUGGCCUUCAUAGUUUCUGGCGAAAAGUCUGGUGUGAUUCUGAUAGGUCUGCCUUUAUAUGUUACUUGACCUUUUUCCCUUACUGCUUUUAAUAUUCUUUCUUUAUUUUGUGCGUUUGGUGUUUUGCCUAUUAUGUGACGGGAGGUGUUUCUUUUCUGGUCCAAUCUAUUUGGAGUUCUGUAGGUUUCUUGUAUGCGUAUGGGUAUCUGUUUUUUUAGGUUAGGGAAGUUUUCUUCUAUGAUUUUGUUGAAGAUAUUUACUGGUCCUUUGAGCUGGGAGUUUUCACUCUCUUCUAUACCUAUUAUCCUUAGGUUUGAUCUUCUCAUUGAGUCCUGGAUUUCCUGUAUGUUUUGGACCAGUAGCUUUUUCCGCUGUACAUUAUCUUUGACAGGUGAGUCAAUGAUUUCUAUGGAAUCUUCUGCUCCUGAGAUUCUCUCUUCCAUCUCUUGUAUUCUGUUGGUGAAGCUUGUAUCUACAGCUCCUUGUCUCUUCUUUUGGUUUUCUACAUCCAGGGUUGUUUCCAUGUGUUCUUCCUUGAUUGCUUCUAUUUCCAUUUUUAAUUCCUUCAACUGUUUGAUUGUGUUUUCCUGGAAUUCUUUCAGGGAUUUUUGUGACUCCUCUCUAUGGGCUUCUACUUGUUUAUUUAUGUUUUCCUGGAAUUCUUUUAGGGAUUUUUGCGAUUCCUCUCUGUAGGCUUCUACUUGUUCUCUAAGGGAGUUCUUCACGUCUUUCUUGAAGUCCUCCAGCAUCAUGAUCAAAAAUGAUUUUGAAACUAGAUCUUGCUUUUCUGGUGUGUUUGUAUAUUCCAUGUUUACUUUGGUGGGAGAAUUGGGCUCUGAUGGUGCCAUGUAGUCUUGGUUUCUGUUGAUUGUUCCUGUGCUUGCCUCUCGCCAUCAGAUUAUUUCUAGUGUUACUUUGUUCUGCUAUGUCUGACAGUGGCUAGACUGUCCUAUAAACCUGUAUUUCAGGAGUGCUGUAGACCUGUUUUCCUGUUUUCUUUCUGCCAGUUAUGGGGACUGAGUGUUCUGCUUUCGGGCGUGUAGUUUUUCCUCUCUACAGGUCUUCAGCUCUUCCUGUGGGCCUGUGUCUUGAGUUCACCAGGCAGGUCGCUUGGAGCAGAAAAGUUGGUCUUACCUGUGGUCCCAAGGCUCAAGUUUGCUCGCGGGGUGCUGCCCAUGAGCUCUCCGCGGCGGCAGCCACCAGGAAGAUCUGCGCUGCCAUUUCCGGGAGCUUCUGUGCACCAGGGUUCCAGAUGGUGUUUGGUGUUUUCCUCUGGAAUCAGUAAUGUGUGCAGAGUGCAGUCUCUUCUGGUUUCCCAGGCGUGUCUGCCUCUCUGAAGGUUUAGCUCUCCCUCCCACAGGAUUUGGGUGCAGAGAACUAUUUAUCCGGUCAGUCCGUUCAGGUUCCAGCGGUGUCUCAGACGCAGCGGACCUGCUGCUCCUGGGCCCUCCUCUAACUCCAACUUCUUUUAAUUGUAUGUACUUAGUGCUAUGUGUUGAGUGGAUUCCCUCAAUUCUAAGAAUAGAAUAUUCCAAGGGUGAUGGAAUUCAAGAUAUCCAAUUAUAAAAAGUUGUUUACCUUAGGUGUGGUCCCCUGCCCUACCCCGGUUUUUGAGACAAUAUCUUUUGACUGGCCUGGAACUCACAACUAGGUAAAUCUGGCUGGCCAGUGAACCUCAGGGAUCUACCUGUUUCCACUUUCCCAGUUCUGGGGUUACUGGUAUGCAUCUCUGUGUUUGAUUAUCAUCGUUGUCGUCGUCGUCGUCGUCAUUAUUAUUAUUUUAAAUGUGUUCUGGGAAUUGAACUCAGGUCCUCAUAUUUGUGGAGGAAGCACUUUACUGACUGAGCUAUCUCCUUAGCUCUGAUUUUCUUUAUUUAAGUGUCUGGAUAAAGGCAAGAAUAAUGGUAGAAGUUAUAGGGAAGAAAGUGUGUUCUGUAUCAUAACUUUUAAACAGAGUUGGUACUGUUCAGUCAUGGAAGAUACUACCUUGGGAGUAUACAGAAAAACUGAGCAAAUUAAAAUGACCAGUGACCACUAACAGGAAGCUGUUCUAUGCUAUGUAUCCUAUGGUGGCCUUAAUUAAUGCAUCUUUCUGAUUAUACAAUGGUCUAUGCUUUUCAUUGCCUUAUAACAAUUGUCCAGCCGUCUAUUAAUGGAAAUGAAAACUUUGUCUACAGAAGAAGCACAGUUUCUUCUCCCACCUCUCCAGAGCUGGUUUUGCAUCAAGUAACCUAUUCAUUUCAGCAGUCUUGCUGUUUGUGGAUCUGAAUGAAUUUAACCUCUUACUGGUUGCUUCAUUAAUAAGCUAAGCAGCAGUUAAAAUAUUAUUCAUUUAUAUUUGCAUGAGGGUCACAAUUUUACCCUUUUGAAAUUAUUUAUAUUGUUUAAAAUAGUUUUCUGGGACCUUGAAUUGUUUUUUACUCCUAUGAAUGUUUUUGCCUGCAUAUAUCUGUACAUCACAUGUGUCAACCUCUGCAGAGCCCAGAAGAGGGCGUCGCAUCCCCUGGAACUGUGUGUCACAAUGUGGAUGCUGGGAAUUGAACCCAGGUCCUUCAGUCGGUGCUCUUAACCACAGGGCCAUCUUUGCAGCCUGAAAGCAAUCGCGCCUUAACUGGAAUCCUGUGUUCUUGUUUCAAAAUGAAUCCAUCCUCUUUCCUGACUUCUGUCGAGAUCUCAGAUGUCUACACUUCUGGAGCUUUUCAUUGUAACCCCUAUUACGGGAGAGGUUGAAACAGGAGAGUGGCAAGUUCAAAGCUUGCCUGGGCAAUUUAGGGAGAUUCUGUAACAAGAGAACAAAAGGGCUGAUGCUGGAGAAAGAGGUCGGAGGUGGAAAGUUUUCCAAGUGUUUGCUAGGCGGGAGGUUCCGCUUUGGGGUUUACGACCACCGGGGGCGUGGAAGCUUUCGCAGUCCGGGCAAGGCCAGUAUCAGGACAGGAGCGGGAUUAGACAGGAGAGAGGAUUAGAGUAAAGAACCGCAGGGUUGGCUCAAACAGCUCAAGCCCUGCCUUACUUGACUAUCUUUAUGGCAGCAGAGGAAGUCAAUAGGAACGUGCACAUCGCAGAGGGUAAAGUCCGGUUGUAAUUAACAAAGUAUCUAUGGCCUUUAAAAUUGAACGGAAAGCCGAGGAUACUUCUGGAAUUUGAGACCAAGUCUUCGCUAGCUCCAAUUGUUGACCACUAUACUGGUUGAUAGACAUUUGUUACCCAAAACCAAAUAGGGGAGGGGAAUAGGGGCAUGGUUGAAGAGGAAGGGCAGUGAGAGGAAUCACACUUUUCUAAAAAAUCAAAUCAAAUCCCGGGGCUUUUUACAGCAAGGAGGAGAGAGGUGGGCUUAAGUUUUCUAAAUCAAACGUCUUUAGAUCCUAUAAUCCUGCCAGAUAGUUACAAGUUAGUCACUUCUUGUACAGGCUUCGCAGCAAAUUGCUAAGCAGUUUCUGAUUUAUUUAUUGAUUAAUUUAUUUAGCUAUGGAAACUGAGUCCUCUAGAGGAUCAGGAUUUCCUUAAGUUAUUCAAAUUGUUAGUAAAAGGUUACUGAACCACGUACACGUCUAGGAGAGGCCCCAAAGCCACUAACAGUAUAAUCCCUCAAAUUCCUCGCCGCUGCCAGAUCCAGGGCAUUUCAUCUGCAGUUACGCUUCACCGGAACAGGUCUCUGAGCCUGGGCCACGCAGAUUCUAUACCUCGCAGGUCCUUUCUUUAAGGCAGUGUAUCUCUUGAGUAUCGUGGGAUCAUCACUUUGCCUUAUCAAGGGAGCAGGCACCAGCUUGUCUUCAACCGGACGAGUCCGUAGAUGGCUGGACAAUAAGCACAGUGAGGAAAAUGCCAAAUCGAAGCCAGACAGAUCCCCUCUUUUUUUCUCUGCCUUUCAUGGGCGGCGGAGGGAGGAUAUCCCCGAAUGCUUCCGGCAUUGGAGCGCGCGCUGUCCCUUUAAGCAGGAGCGCGGGGCGCGGCUCAGGUAUGGGGCGUGUCCAGGGGGCGGGCGAGCCCUGAGCCGGCUCUGUCUCGCAGCCGGAUUUGGAGCAGGGCGCCAGCGGGGGCCGGAGGGGGCGGCGCGGCGGACCUCGGUGGCCUCGGACGCUCCUCCUCGAGAGCGGCCGCCGCCCGCCUCCGCCCGUGCUAGCGCUGCUCUCUCGCCCUGGCCGGCACCCCCGCAGUUGCUCCAGGCCGCUCACUUGGGACGCGCUUACCUGAGACAAGGCGCCUGCCACCCUCACCUGGACCAGGAUGAAGGACCGACUGGAGCAGCUGAAGGCCAAGCAGCUGACGCAGGAUGAUGACACGGACGAGGUUGAGAUUGCUAUUGAUAAUACAGCGUUCAUGGAUGAGUUCUUUUCUGAGAUUGAGGAAACGAGGCUCAACAUCGACAAGAUCUCAGAGCAUGUGGAGGAAGCUAAGAAACUCUACAGUAUCAUUCUCUCUGCACCGAUUCCAGAGCCAAAAACCAAAGACGACCUUGAACAGCUCACAACUGAGAUCAAGAAAAGGGCCAACAACGUCCGGAACAAACUGAAGAGCAUGGAGAAGCAUAUUGAGGAAGACGAGGUCCGGUCAUCAGCAGACCUUCGGAUACGAAAGUCCCAGCACUCCGUCCUCUCCCGGAAGUUUGUGGAGGUGAUGACAAAGUACAAUGAGGCACAGGUGGACUUCCGUGAACGCAGCAAAGGGCGCAUCCAACGGCAGCUUGAAAUUACUGGCAAGAAAACAACAGAUGAGGAGCUGGAAGAAAUGUUGGAGAGUGGCAACCCAGCCAUCUUCACUUCUGGGAUCAUUGACUCCCAGAUUUCCAAGCAAGCCCUCAGCGAGAUUGAGGGUCGGCACAAGGACAUCGUGAGGCUGGAGAGCAGCAUCAAGGAGCUCCAUGACAUGUUUAUGGACAUCGCCAUGCUGGUGGAGAAUCAGGGUGAGAUGUUAGAUAACAUAGAGUUGAAUGUCAUGCACACGGUGGACCAUGUGGAGAAGGCACGGGAUGAAACUAAAAGAGCCAUGAAGUAUCAGGGUCAGGCUCGAAAGAAAUUGAUAAUUAUCAUUGUGAUAGUAGUUGUGUUGCUGGGCAUUUUAGCGUUGAUUAUUGGAUUGUCCGUUGGGCUGAAAUAAGAGUGGCCUAAGGGGCUGCUGCACUGAAAUUUUACAUCCCAGUCUGGCUCAAACUUGGGAUUCCGUACCCUCCUAUGUGUUGGGAUUACAGGUGUGAGCUGAAGGGCAGCCAAGUGCUCUUACCUGCCACCCAAGCCGUCUCUCUGGCCUCCUCCACAACCAUCAAACAAUUUAAAACACAAAUUCACCCAGAAAAACUAGAAGUUAUGACAUCAUUUACUGAGCUAAAAACCAUUGUGGAAUUAUAUAUGGAAUGAUUUUGCUUAUUUAAUACAAAUGUAUCUGUAUAUAUGUCUGUAUUAGGUGAGUUGUGAAGGAACACUUAGUAUAAGAAACCCAAACUGGAGUUUUAAUAGUUCAUCUGAAUAAGUAGUUGCAUCAUUUAGUCCAGAAGAUUGCGUUGAUCUCCCCAGAUAUCACCAAGGCUUUCCUUCUCCCUUGCAAUUGGUAUAAAUGACAACUGACAGUCUGUUUUGAGAAGCCAGGAAUUUUAUUUCAUGAGUCACAGUGGUGAGCACCUCAGGAACCUGCAUCAUUUAUUCCACACCGUGGCUCAGGAAUGGAGUAGCACUGUUAAUAUCUGCUUUUCUUGGUACAGAUUUGAAACGAUAUGAAAAGAAACCAAACCAUCCUUUGGUCACAUACAACAGAAGAUACUCCUUCUCAGUAUUGGGUGAAGUUGGCUGUGAUGUGCUCGUAGUUGAAGGGAAUAUAGUAUGCAACCCCUGGAAUAAGGCAGAGGAUAACAAGUGUUCACGGUGCACAUAAACUUUCCAAAUCAAACAGUAGCAUAUUAACCUUGAGAGAGGUAGGUAUGAUUACCGUAGAGAGAAGAGGGCAGAAAUGUGAGUUUUGUUUAAGGAUUUCUUUUAAAAUGUUUUUUUGUUAUUGUUAUUUAUCUGUGUGUAUCUAUGUGGAUGAAUGCAUGUGAAACUCAGAAGACAACUUGUGAGAGUCAAUUCUCACUUUUCAUCAUGUGUUCCCAGGAAUCAAACUUAGGCCUCUAAGCCUGGUGCCAAAUGUUUUUACCAGCUCUUGCUAGACCUGUAGGGAUUUCUUUCUUUUAAAAUGAUGAUGAUGAUGAUGAUGAUGAUGAUGAUGAUGAUGAUGAUGAUGAUGAUGAUGAUGAUGAUGGUGUGUGUGUGUGUGUGUGUGUGAGUGCAUGCACCACAUGUGUGAAGGUGCUUAUGGAGGACAAAAGAAGGAACUGGGAUUAUAGCCGUAGAGACUGAAUCCAUAUUUGUGUACUGUAAGAUUGUGAUUAUGAGAGGAGCUGCAGCCCAUGAAUUCCGCUGGCCAGCUCUUCCUAACUAUAUGGUAGAUGGCAAGCAAACCAUCUCUCCAUGGUAAAAUUGAAGAAUGGAGCCUUCAAGAGAUAGCCUUGGCCUCCUGUGACUCUGUUAGGAGUCACAGUCCUCUUCAUAGUGACAGUCAGGGUCAGGUUAACAUGAUCCUUAGACAAAACCAUGCCCAGUACUCUUUAAGUGGGAAGAAGUUUCAGUGUUUAUGCAAAACCUUUCAGAAAUAUUAGUUGCUGGAGUCUGAAUUUCAUUCUUGCCAUAUUUAUUUGUAAAUACAUAGUUACAAACAUUCCUUUAUCAGAGACUAAACAGAAGGCAAGGACUGAAGUUUUGAUGACCCUAGUUAGAAAGCUCACUUGUCUUAGGGUUUGGAAACCUGAACUUGAUUUCUGUUCUGUCGAACUCUAGGCUCAUUUUUCAAACAGGUGCCCUUGACAUCUUGUGGUGAUGCAAUAUUCUAAAAUAUCUCUUACAUUCUAAGACACUGGGACUUUUUUGCUGGACCUCACUGCAGGGUUAAUACUACACCUUGAGGUUACUUCUGACUUAAGACUGCUACCCUAUUGCGUACUCAGCCCGUUCGCUUAACCUGCCUUUAAGAGAAGUGUAAGAAUCGACAUACUUGCCUUGAAUUCUCUAUGUAAUCCAUCUUUACAACCUAAGAUAACGCAUAGGUAUAAUCUUAAGUUCGUUCGUUUGUUCUUUCUUUCUUUCUUUCUUUCUUUCUUUCUUUCUUUCUUUCUUUCUUUCUUCCUUUCUUUAUUUUUAUUAUUAACUUGAGUAUUUCUUAUAUACAUUUCGAGUGUUAUUCCCUUUCCCGAUAAUCUUAAGUUCUUAUUAUGUACUCUUCAAGACCCAGACCCAGAACAAUGCAUGUUUAUCAUUUGCUGAGAGCAGCAAAUACAUAAGAUGAAAGCAAUUUCCUAAAAUCUACCAUGAAGUUUGAAAACAUCUAUUUAUGAAAAUUGGCUGAUAAACACUGGUGUUUAUAGGACUGUUACAUAUUUCUGUAAAAUGUCCUAUUCCAUCCCCGUAUGAUGCUUUCUGUGCUGUUCAAUAAAGACACAGUAAAGCUUUUGCCAGGGACAUACACACAGCCGUCUAGCAGACACAUAGCAGGUACACACAGUCAGGCACAGGGCCAGAGAGACUGACAAGACCGCUCCUUACAGCAGGCACAGAUUCAGACUCAUGCAACAGGAGGACAGAGGAUGGAAGACACAGGGUUGAUGAAGUAGAGAAUUCAAGUCUGAACUCGCUCUUGGUGAAAUGGCCCCAAGGGGAAGUGGGAAGAACUUUUAUUUCUUUCCUUAAUGCUACGCUGAUGUACUUGGUGCCUUGGAGUUAAGCACCAAUGUAUAAUUUAUUUCACAUCUCUUAAAUUUAGUUACCUUCCUGUAAAAAGAGUCACUAACAAUUGCAGAGUAUUUAUGUAAUGGUUAUCUGUGACACUCAAUUCCUAUACAUAUCCUUAGUAUGAGCACACACACACAUUAUAAUACUAGCCAAGUACGUGAAUUAAAGGACUAGUAAAUGUAGCUUCCAGCUGGAAGAAAAAGGCAUUCCUCUGCUCUUCUUACCUUCACCCAAAGGCGUUUUGCCACUAAGGAACUCCCAAUAGGUCUUGUGCUUAACAUUCUCAGCGAUAUUGUUGAUAGAAGAGACAAUAAGGCCCCAGGAUGUCAUUGUGGUUUCAAAUCUAAGAAUAAAAUGUGAACAACCUUGGUUGAAGCCAGGCAACAGGAGGCAAGACGGAGGGACAGGUGUUCAAAUGCUUUAAAGAACAGAUAAAAAUAAUGUUCAGAGAGAAAGUACAAAUGACUAGUGAGCAUGGAACCGUACCACUUAAAGUGGAAUUUCAAUGAAUAGCAUUUGAAUGAUUUUGAUUAAUGUUUUCAGUUGAGUGGGUUGAGAGGCAUUUCUAUAUUUAGGUAUUCAUGUUUUAUGGAUAUGUUAUUUGGAACAAACACUUUUACUUUGCACAGUACCCAUUUGCCAGAUUCCAUAGGCUUAUUUCUCUUUGGUAUGUUGAGGACUCCGGGUGAAUGAGUACCUCCAUGUAUGUACAAUUCAACAUUUCUACUCAUUAAAUUACAUAUAUCUCCAUGGCACAGUUGAAAUCCAAGGUUUUUCUUGUAUAGAAUAUUGUGUGGAAAUAUUAAAUAAUAUUAAAUUAAUAGUAAAAAGAGUAGCCAUUGUAGAGGACAGUGUGCAUGAGGGUCAUAUGGGGUGCACUCUGUUAAUGAUCAACUCUAGAGAUGUCCAAAUUCUUAAAGGAUCUUACAUAAAGAAUCACGGAAUUUGGUGCCUCAGGCCUCUGUAGGUACCUGUACUCACAUGCAUAUAUCUGAUCCCCACAUCAUCAAAAAUAAAUAAAUCAUAGAAAAUAAGGAACACAAAUUUUAGAGGAAAAUAUGCCAGACCAUGACUCUGAUGAGUCACAGCUGUUUGUACUACAUGUAGAAAAAAUUUCUAUGAGAUUAUUAAAUAACUGAUUAUAA